UACAGAGGGUGCGAGCGUUAAUCGGAAUUAUUGGGCGUAAAGGGCUUGUAGGUGGUUGAUUAAGUUAGAUGUGAAAACCCUGGGCUCAACCUGGGACGUGCAUUUAAUACUGGUCGACUAGAGUAGUGCAGAGGAGAGGGGAAUUCCUGGUGUAGCAGUGAAAUGCGUAGAGAUCAGGAGGAACAUCGGUGGCGAAGGCGCCUCUCUGGGUACAUACUGACACUGAAAAGCGAAGGCGUGGGGAUCAAAC
Molecule: ribosomal RNA, 250 nt
Filed under: uncultured bacterium
Lineage: Bacteria
Description: partial 16S ribosomal RNA
Rfam family: Bacterial small subunit ribosomal RNA
Source: RNAcentral